AACUUUUGGCAAUGGAUCUCUAGGCUCUCGCAUCGAUGAAGAACGCAGCGAAAUGUGAUACGUAAUGUGAAUUGCAGAAUUGAGUGAAUCAUCGAAUCUUUGAACGCAUCUUGCGCUCCUUGGUAUUCCGAGGAGCAUGUCUGCUUGAGUGUCAUGAAAUUCUCGACCGCCCCGGAGGGUUUGCUCCCUCUGGGGUAACAGGUUCGGACCGUGGCCGUGAUGCCCGCGCGCGCUGCGGGCGGGCUCGGCUGAAUUAGCUGAAGGCUGACUUAAGAUUUGGGAUCGGCUGACCCGAUAUCGUACAUCUCACUUUGUCGGGUUGCCGCAUCUUUGCCAUUUCAGCCUCCCCUGAAUCAAGGGGAUCACUGUUUACAUUGAUCUCGACCUCAAGUCAGGCAGGACUACCCGCUGAACUUAAGCAUAUCAAUAAGCGGAGGCU
RNAcentral lists this unclassified non-coding RNA (439 nucleotides) under uncultured Basidiomycota. Its description in RNAcentral is "sequence contains ITS2". The stretch from base 1 to 154 matches the Rfam family "5.8S ribosomal RNA". Lineage: Eukaryota; Fungi; Basidiomycota. The record is from RNAcentral.